Long non-coding RNA from Sinocyclocheilus grahami, 409 nucleotides. RefSeq lists it as uncharacterized. The record is from RefSeq and is a predicted model, not a curated record. The transcript is spliced from 3 exons. NCBI's taxonomy places the organism in Eukaryota, Metazoa, Chordata, Actinopteri, Cypriniformes, Cyprinidae.
CACAGCUGGUAUCCGCAUCCCUCUCAUCAGUUUUUUUGCAUUUGUCUGCUAGGUAGCAGGGCAGGUCUCUUAGCAGGGCUUUUGAUUCCCUUGUGCAUUUUAAUUCUUGCCUUGUUGUUCUGCUGCUGCUGUUGUGGGCGGCCCGUCGAAGGGAAGGAAGGAGUAGCGGUUGGAGAUGGCAGUCCUGCGGUUCGCAUGAAGCAUCAUGUUUAUACUGUGCUGGCCAACAUGGGUUCGGCAAUGCCGUGCAUUACUCUUUGGUCGUCUGGUUUGCCUAGGGUUACAGUCUCUCAUCAUGAUCCUGAGCUCACAUUUAACCACAGCUUCAUUGAGCAGCCAUCGUCCAGCUGGGUGACUGAUUCAUUUGAAACUGAUGAUGAAGGAGAGGCCAUCUACUGUGAACCACCCA